UGAAAGGUAGCACCCGCGGAAAAGCCACAUUUAAAUAACAUUUGCAUAUAACGUACAGAUACUCCAUAGAAGCUCCAUGGUGAUAAGCGUAUUUUUUACCACUUUCGGCCACACCCCCUGGGAGACAUUUGAACCGAAUCCUAAGCCCCCAUUUGCAUAUUGCUAAUGAAUCAUUUAUUUUUUCUUUGCGUACUCGCAAGAUACUGUGAUGUGAUUGGAUCUUACCUUAUGAAUAAUGUAUUUUUCUAUUGAAAUUCGUACGUCAUAAUUUGACCCCCAUCGUCACUUCCGCUUAAUUAAAGGCUGAAAGAUGACGUCACCCGCACAGAAGAAGAUUAUGUCCUUGAAAGAUUUUCGCUUGUAUUGCUGACAUUUCUGUCAGUGUGUAUUGUUCUAUUCAACAGACAUAGAACAUGAUGCUGCUUCACAUCCUCUUUUAGAGACUCGAGGAUUACAAGACCGAAUUAAGCUGCAGGACCCUCCUGAUUCAAAAAGAUAUGGAACAUGACUCUGCUUCACAUCCUCUGUUUUAGAGACUCAAGAAAUACAAGACAAAAUUAAGGGUUUGCUUUUUAAUUCCAAUAAUAAUUUUCUGGAGGAAGAAUUAGGGAAUAAUGCAUUGACAAUAUGCCAAACAUCCUAUAUCAAACUGAAUUACUGCAUGUAUUUACAAUAGAGUAUUGUAACCACUCCCCCCCCCCCCACACUACUGACCAAACAAAACCCAUAAACGAUUUAAGAGGGAUAGGGUUAUUUUAGGGGUAAUUAUACUUGCUUAUUGUAGCAGUAGUUUUUACAAUUAUGGAUGUAGAUAAUGAUAAUGUUUAUAAUAAUAAUACUUAGAAUAAUAAAUUUAUUUCAAUGACAUAACAGGAAUGAUAAAUAAAAAUUAAGCAAUACAAUAUGUACAGGUAAUUGUGUAACAAUUUUGGCAAUGAAGAAUUUUUAACAAAAAUAAUGAUCAAUGAAUUCGGGGGGUGGGGGGGGGGGCAUGUGACAUUGCAUCUGUGUUGUGAGGACAGUAGUCUCUUUCACACCAUUUCAUCUUAAGCAGAUGGGAACGAGCUCUGAUCAAAAUUUGAUCUUUAAACUCAAGAGGAAAAUAAUUGUUACCUGAUUUAUGUAUUUGGAAUAAAAUGAAUUGAAAUAAUAA
Molecule: long non-coding RNA, 1153 nt
Organism: Lytechinus pictus (painted urchin)
Lineage: Eukaryota; Metazoa; Echinodermata; Echinoidea; Temnopleuroida; Toxopneustidae
Exons: 3
Source: RefSeq, a predicted model, not a curated record